Molecule: long non-coding RNA, 1285 nt
Filed under: Homo sapiens (human)
Lineage: Eukaryota; Metazoa; Chordata; Mammalia; Primates; Hominidae
Description: HSALNT0301902
Source: RNAcentral
ACUCUCUGUUGCCUGCUGCCAUGUAAUGUGUGCCUGUUUUGCCAUGAUUUUAAGUUUCCUGAAGCCUCCUGAGCCCUGCAGAACUGUGAGUCAAUGAAACCUCUUUUCUUUAUAAAAGUCUUGGGCAGUUCUUUGCAGCAGUAUGAAAAUGGACUAAUACAUUAGUAAAUGUGAAUACCAGGAGGCAGGGAUUGUUGGGGGCUACUUUAGAAGGCUGCCUACCACAAUAGCCAUGUAACCUUGAAAAUUUGCUUAAGCUGUUUUGCUCGGUUUCCUUACCUGGGAAACAGGAAUACUAAUAGAACCCACCUGUUAGGGCUGCAGUGCUAAACAUACUAAGAAUGUAUAUGCUAGUGAUUAGCAAAGUGCUACACACAAAGCAAAAUUCAGUACAAUAAUACUGUGCUAUUAUACCUGUUAUUUUUUAGCUAUGUCAUCUCUUUUUAGGUUGAUUCUUUCUUCAUAAAGUGAGAAUUGGAUGAUCUCUAAGUUUCCUUGUAAGCCCAAGGAGUUUACUGAUUUUGUAGACUUAGGAAUCCACAGACUUCUUCAUUUUCAACAAUCUAACCUUUUUUGGACCCCACAUUAGCUUUUCCCCCUCGCUCUUAUAAUACCUAAUUGGGAUCACAUAGAAAAAAAACCCUGAUGUUUCUGAAGGAGAGAUUCUAUUAAUGUUUGGGACAAAUCAACUGUUGCAGGGGCCCUGCCCUGAGAACCAAAGUUUUAUGAAUUUUAGUCCGCAUUCUGCCAGUUGAAACAAGUUCUUUAACCUCUCCCGUCUCAGUUCGUAUAAUUCACGGAGGGUGAGUUGGACUGGAUGAGAUAGCAUUCCUUCUAGCUUAAAAGUCUUUGGAACUAAUUUCCGUUUGCUGCAUAUAUUCGUUUUUAAUUCUCCUUUCCAUGUGUUCCAUAUGUAGUUAUUUAGGGACAAUUUCCUCAGGCAUUUUCAGAACAUUCUCAAUUUUACAAAGAUUAUAGGAUACAAUUAUAGCUUAUAUGAUUUUAGGAACUAUGACAUUGUAAAGAAAAAUUAUUGUGAUAAUCAGUAAACCUCUAAGAUAUUCUUACAAAGGCCACUUUUAGAAAAUCACAGAAAAUGAAGUCGGGUGAUGUUAUUUGUAUGCAUCAGGUGAAAAAAAUACUCCCAAAUGAGGAAAAAUAUUUUGGGACUUUUGAGUUGACUAGAAUUCAAAGUAAAAAAAAAAAAAAAAGCCAGAUCAUUUUCUGUAAUGAUUCAACUCAUUGGACAUUUCUUGAGGUGUCAGUUAUACCUUCUUAGAAAUAG